AUUGAACGCUGGCGGCAGGCUUAACACAUGCAAGUCGAGCGGGGUGAUGGUGCUUGCACUAUCACUUAGCGGCGGACGGGUGAGUAAUGCUUAGGAAUCUGCCUAUUAGUGGGGGACAACAUCUCGAAAGGGAUGCUAAUACCGCAUACGUCCUACGGGAGAAAGCAGGGGAUCACUUGUGACCUUGCGCUAAUAGAUGAGCCUAAGUCGGAUUAGCUAGUUGGUGGGGUAAAGGCCUACCAAGGCGACGAUCUGUAGCGGGUCUGAGAGGAUGGUCCGCCACACUGGGACUGAGAAACGGCCCAGAGUCCUACGGGAGGCAGCAGUGGGGAAUAUUGGACAAUGGGGGGAACCCUGAUCCAGCCAUGCCGCGUGUGUGAAGAAGGCCUUAUGGUUGUAAAGCACUUUAAGCGAGGAGGAGGCUCUUUUGGUUAAUACCCAAGAUGAGUGGACGUUACUCGCAGAAUAAGCACCGGCUAACUCUGUGCCAGCCGCCGCCGUAA
Molecule: ribosomal RNA, 503 nt
Filed under: uncultured bacterium
Lineage: Bacteria
Description: partial 16S ribosomal RNA
Rfam family: Bacterial small subunit ribosomal RNA
Source: RNAcentral